Molecule: ribosomal RNA, 262 nt
Filed under: uncultured bacterium
Lineage: Bacteria
Description: partial 16S ribosomal RNA
Rfam family: Bacterial small subunit ribosomal RNA
Source: RNAcentral
AUUAACGCUAGCGGCAGGCAUAAUACAUGCAAGUUGAACGGCAGCACAGGUAGCAAUACUGGGUGGCGAGUGGCGCACGGGUGCGUAACACGUAUGCAACCUACCCUAUACAGGCGAAUAACCUUUAGAAAUGAGGGCUAAUACGCCGUAGUAUUACAGAUGGGCAUCUAUUUGUAAUUAAAGAUUUAUCGGUAUAGGAUGGGCAUGCGUCCCAUUAGUUAGUUGGUAAGGUAACGGCUUACCAAGACGAUGAUGGUAGGGG